AUUGAACGCUGGCGGAAUGCUUUACACAUGCAAGUCGAACGGUAGAGGGGGCAACCCCUCGAGAGUGGCGAACGGGUGAGUAAUAUAUCGGAACGUGCCCUGUCGUGGGGGAUAACGUAGCGAAAGUUACGCUAAUACCGCAUACGAUCUAAGGAUGAAAGCGGGGGAUCGCAAGACCUCGCGCGAUUGGAGCGGCCGAUAUCAGAUUAGGUAGUUGGUGGGGUAAAGGCUCACCAAGCCAACGAUCUGUAGCUGGUCUGAGAGGACGACCAGCCACACUGGAGCUGAGACACGGUCCAGACUCCUACGGGAGGCAGCAGUGGGGAAUUUUGGACAAUGGACGCAAGUCUGAUCCAGCCAUUCCGCGUGCAGGAUGAAGGCCCUCGGGUUGUAAACUGCUUUUGUACGGAACGAAAAGGUCUCUCUUAAUACGGGGGGCUCAUGACGGUACCGUAAGAAUAAGCACCGGCUAACUACGUGCCAGCAGCCGCGGUAA
This 496-nucleotide ribosomal RNA is filed under the name uncultured bacterium. Its description in RNAcentral is "partial 16S ribosomal RNA". It matches the Rfam family "Bacterial small subunit ribosomal RNA", at positions 30 to 523 of the family's 1533-position model. The record is from RNAcentral.